AGCUCUGAUACCAUGUGGAUGAGA
Molecule: microRNA, 24 nt
Filed under: Brachypodium distachyon (stiff brome)
Lineage: Eukaryota; Viridiplantae; Streptophyta; Magnoliopsida; Poales; Poaceae
Description: bdi-miR7783-3p
Source: miRBase by way of RNAcentral